CCAUGACAGGCGUGAGUGCAAGACCUUGUGUUCUUACCCAACCAUUAAUUCAAAGCAAUUAGAGCUGUCAAAUUACUACUGUACAAUACGUUAUAGCUAAUUUGAAUUUGAAAGGUUCACUUUUUUUUUGAGACACACUGUAUAUAGAUGAAUCACUGCAGUGUCUGCGAACAUCCAGGCGGACAAAAAAAUACACAAGAUAGACAACUACAGAGUCAGAGAAAGUUGACUAGUUGAGUAAUCACUCCGCCCGCUCG
This is a non-coding RNA of Paramuricea clavata, 257 nucleotides long. The record is from the annotation of a GenBank genome assembly. NCBI's taxonomy places the organism in Eukaryota, Metazoa, Cnidaria, Anthozoa, Malacalcyonacea, Plexauridae.